GCCCAUGGCAGGGGGUGGAGUGAGAUGAUCUUUGAGAUCUCUUCCAACCCAAGCCACUCUGCGAUCUUCUGUGUUCAUCUUUACACUGAAUUCCACAUUCCAGCACCCCUUCUGUUCCCUUUCCUCAUUAAUUUCCUGCAGAACUUCCAGGACACAUGCUGAUAAUACCUGUUUGCCCUUUUUCCAUCUCUUACCUAGUUUUAUUUUCACCUGUUCACUUUCUCUUUAUAAUGAUUGCAGAAACUGUAGAAAAAAAAUGUUGAAAUAAUACUCUUUUGUUUAGUAUAGAGCAACUGCAACACAGGAAACCACACUGAAGGUAUAAUUAAGACUAAAAGCCAAUCCAGUAUUUCUGUGACACCUGCUGGGAGUUUAUCUCUUUUCACAGUCUUUCACCAGGUUUUCUUUCACAGCUGACAUGUUGGUUGAUAACAGAAACAGGAAAUAAAGAGGAAUGAAAGAGCCCUGUGCUGUACAGACUGCUGGCUUCUCUCACCAUGAAAUGCUCAAUAGUGAAUUAUGCAAUUGUUGAAAAGGUUUCUUUUACAGUAGAGGACAAAAAUAAAUUAUGAGUGAAAAGAAGUUAAAAUUGUUCCUCUUGAGCAACUCUCCUGCAUCAACGCUUAAUCCUUCCAUUUUCAGAUGGCUUUCCUACCACGACUGUGGUGUUCAGCUUAUUUAACCUGGAGUGGUUUGGUUGCCUUGAUACAUGAACGACUGAUCCUGCAAUCUUCAGAGAUUAAAUGUCACUUCAUCUUCACAGGUGGACUAAAAGAAAUAAAGAAGACAGGAUGCCAUUGCAGGAAGAUAUUACAAUGCAAGAGGUUGCCUCCAUCUCACUGCUGCUGAACUUCCUACGUCUUGUCCCCAGCGUGUUGUCCUUCGAGUCACAGAUGGAAGGCUGGGCUGCAAAACUGGACUUCCACACAGAAAUGUUGCAGCCAAAUAUAGAUGACCGAUUCCAGAGCACGUUGGCAACCUUCUGAUGUUAUUUCUGGAUUUGGAGAAGUAUUAUUUCCCACAGGCACUUACAUAGCUGGAUGUUGAUCAUGUUUUAGUUGGCUAAUAACAGUUUUGCACUGCUUUGUGUCCCUCACACAGCCCUGGUGACAGGCAGAGGUUUUUUUUCCAAGAGUUGGGGCAGUUAAUUGUGUAUAAUUUGUGCAAGUUGUACACUGUAUUUUUUCUAGAAGCGCUGUUUAGUAUUUCUUAUAUUGCUGAAUUGUGUUCAGCAGUAAUAACAUUGUAUGAUUGCAAUACUCCAAUAAUAAGUAAAAAGGAGUUCUUUACUAAAUCCCACCACAUGCUGUAGUUGUUUUCUAACUUUAGUUUGCAUUCUACCUCCUAAAACCCAGACUGACUGAACCCUACCUCUGCCAGCUCUUCCUUGCACAUACUGGCACACAGAGCUAAUGCAAAUGAUAGGAUCUUCCAUUUAAAUCUUCAGUGAAGAUUUUUAAUUAAAAGAGCUGUAUAAUAUUACAAUUCACAGGCUAGAUUGAUUUUAUGAUUUUUUUUUGGUGGAGUUUAAGAGAAUGGUGAGACUAUUUGAAGACUUUCUUACUUCUCUGAACUCGUUCUCCAGGUACUGGCAGGAUCUCAUCAGUUUGCUAAAGUUGCUGCUCCCAGAGACUUUAAUGGUAUACCAAAUACAUUUCUCUAUGACUUCUGUUUGCUCCUUUUAUCUAGUUUAACAUUACCCUCUCAGAGCACAUUUUUGCAAUCAUAAAUAUGCUCUUUCUGUUUACACAGUCAUGUUCUUGCAAGUGCUAACGGGCAGAGAUGUUCACUUGAGAAUUUCUUACAGAAUAAACAAUAGCAGCCAAAGGUGAGGAUGAGAUUCCUAGUGCUUCGUUAGCACUGACGUCCUGGGGAUGGCACCGAGAGCCCUGGGAACAAGCGUGUAAAAUGGGAUUCUUGGAAAGUUAACAGCAGGAAGGAUGUUCUAGGGAAUGCUGCAGCAUUGAUUCAAACUGGUGCUGUUGUCACAGGCAACAGACAAGUACCAGUGCUCACCUGGAAGAGAUCUGUACACUGAAUUAACCACAACCAUUGAGAGUGCCAGCACACCUGCAGUAACCCCUUCUCCCAUGUUGACAGCAGUCAUCUGAAAACAGUCUUUUCUAAAGCAUUUCCAUGCUGAAGGCCAUUGGGUAUUUUUUCCCAGCUGCUGGAAUGCCAUUUGCAUCUUGCUGUAUCUCCAUCUCCCUCCCUCCCCUCCUGCAGUCGUAUGAAUUUAGUUGCAUCACCAAGGAAUGAACAAGAUCUGGUGGCUUAAACCUUUUUUUUUUCUGGGGCCUUUUAGUCCUGGGAGGACUGAUCUCUGUAUGACGGGGAAUGUGUUAUAGGAUAACACUUGGAAUCAGGGCUGUCUCAGUCAGGGUUGUGAACGUGAAUUAAUACUCACCAAGCACUACGUAAAUAUUAAAAGUAUAUUAAUUUAUAUAGCACUUUAAAUACUAUAUAAAUUCAACCUCCAAUGAAAGCUGCUAUCCAAAGAUUUAUAAAGAACUUGUACAUUUUUACCUGGGAAGGAAGAAAAAUCCCUCCUUUUCUCAAACAAGGGAAAAGCCUAACUCAGAAUGUCUUGUUAUUUACUCAUGUAUUUAUUUUACACAAUAAAAUAUUUACAUUAAAUGUGUCAGUUUUCAAAAACAACUUGUUACUUAAUUUUUCAACUGAAUUUGGCCAAGUGGAAAAGGAAAUUAAAUAUGCCAGAGGACUGCAGUAAAAGAGAUAUAAGAGUUUUCAAAUUGUGUGAGAAAGAGACUAUAAUAAAUGACCAGUGGACUGGUCAGCUGUUUUAAUUAAAACGGGGCUUAUUGAUCUAUCAUAGAUUUGCCCCAUUUGCAACAUUUCGGCAAUAUUCCUAUUUCAGAAAAUAGCACUUGGAAGAGACAUUAAAGAACAUGGAAGCUGCAAAUGGAAAGGUUUUAUAACUAUGUGACAUUUUGUACUAUGGUCUUUUUCCAUCCUAUAUUAGCGCCUCACAUAUCUUCAUACAAAAAGGCAUAGAUUCUAUAGAAUCUAUAGGAUAGUCUAUCCUGGUCUGGUGGAAGGUGUCCCUGCCCAUGGCGGGGGGGGUGGAACAAGAUGAGCUUUUCCAACCCAAUCCACUGUGUGAUUCCAUUAUACUGCUUUUCUAACUUAAUUCUUAUGAGUUCACUGUUUAUUUGUGCUUAAAAAAAAUAACCCUAAAAUAUAUUGGUUUACAUCAGAUUUUUCAAGGUGUCAUGUUCUUCAAACCAGUGGGAUCUUUUAGCGGUUGCAUCUUCAGUGUGGGCAUUUGUCAUGCCUGAACUGACUGAUGUACAUUUCUAUUGGGAAAACUAAAUAAAGUACUAAAAAGGGGAUAAUAAUUGUUCUGCACCAACGUGGAAGGACUGUGGUAUCAGCAGCUUCUGUUGGUAGCUCUGAUUUGCUCCUGAAAGGCUUAUUUUAAAUUUCUGUUUAUAAGUAAUGUGGUGAAAUUCAAAUAGCCUCAAUGCAAAUCUGGCACAAAUCCCCUUGGUUUUUAAGCCAGAAAUGUGUCUUUAAAUAGUGGCUCCAACAGUGGCAGAACAUCUGCAUUGGAAGCAACUGGUGCCGUGCUCUGGUUGAAAGGAAAGGCACGGCUGUGUC
This is a long non-coding RNA of Lepidothrix coronata (blue-crowned manakin), 3621 nucleotides long. RefSeq lists it as uncharacterized. The transcript has 4 exons. Lineage: Eukaryota; Metazoa; Chordata; Aves; Passeriformes; Pipridae. The record is from RefSeq and is a predicted model, not a curated record.